GAAGGUGUGCUGUGAGGCAUGCUGGAGGUAUCAGAAGUGCGAAUGCUGACAUAAGUAACGAUAAAGCGGGUGAAAAGCCCGCUCGCCGGAAGACCAAGGGUUCCUGUCCAACGUUAAUCGGGGCAGGGUGAGUCGACCCCUAAGGCGAGGCCGAAAGGCGUAGUCGAUGGGAAACAGGUUAAUAUUCCUGUACUUGGUGUUACUGCGAAGGGGGGACGGAGAAGGCUAUGUUGGCCGGGCGACGGUUGUCCCGGUUUAAGCGUGUAGGCUGGUUUUCCAGGCAAAUCCGGAAAAUCAAGGCUGAGGCGUGAUGACGAGGCACUACGGUGCUGAAGCAACAAAUGCCCUGCUUCCAGGAAAAGCCUCUAAGCAUCAGGUAACAUCAAAUCGUACCCCAAACCGACACAGGUGGUCAGGUAGAGAAUACCAAGGCGCUUGAGAGAACUCGGGUGAAGGAACUAGGCAAAAUGGUGCCGUAACUUCGGGAGAAGGCACGCUGAUAUGUAGGUGAAGUCCCUCGCGGAUGGAGCUGAAAUCAGUCGAAGAUACCAGCUGGCUGCAACUGUUUAUUAAAAACACAGCACUGUGCAAACACGAAAGUGGACGUAUACGGUGUGACGCCUGCCCGGUGCCGGAAGGUUAAUUGAUGGGGUCAGCGCAAGCGAAGCUCUUGAUCGAAGCCCCGGUAAACGGCGGCCGUAACUAUAACGGUCCUAAGGUAGCGAAAUUCCUUGUCGGGUAAGUUCCGACCUGCACGAAUGGCGUAAUGAUGGCCAGGCUGUCUCCACCCGAGACUCAGUGAAAUUGAACUCGCUGUGAAGAUGCAGUGUACCCGCGGCAAGACGGAAAGACCCCGUGAACCUUUACUAUAGCUUGACACUGAACAUUGAGCCUUGAUGUGUAGGAUAGGUGGGAGGCUUUGAAGUGUGGACGCCAGUCUGCAUGGAGCCGGCCUUGAAAUACCACCCUUUAAUGUUUGAUGUUCUAACGUUGACCCGUAAUCCGGGUUGCGGACAGUGUCUGGUGGGUAGUUUGACUGGGGCGGUCUCCUCCUAAAGAGUAACGGAGGAGCACGAAGGUUGGCUAAUCCUGGUCGGACAUCAGGAGGUUAGUGCAAUGGCAUAAGCCAGCUUGACUGCGAGCGUGACGGCGCGAGCAGGUGCGAAAGCAGGUCAUAGUGAUCCGGUGGUUCUGAAUGGAAGGGCCAUCGCUCAACGGAUAAAAGGUACUCCGGGGAUAACAGGCUGAUACCGCCCAAGAGUUCAUAUCGACGGCGGUGUUUGGCACCUCGAUGUCGGCUCAUCACAUCCUGGGGCUGAAGUAGGUCCCAAGGGUAUGGCUGUUCGCCAUUUAAAGUGGUACGCGAGCUGGGUUUAGAACGUCGUGAGACAGUUCGGUCCCUAUCUGCCGUGGGCGCUGGAGAACUGAGGGGGGCUGCUCCUAGUACGAGAGGACCGGAGUGGACGCAUCACUGGUGUUCGGGUUGUCAUGCCAAUGGCACUGCCCGGUAGCUAAAUGCGGAAGAGAUAAGUGCUGAAAGCAUCUAAGCACGAAACUUGCCCCGAGAUGAGUUCUCCCUGACUCCUUGAGAGUCCUGAAGGAACGUUGAAGACGACGACGUUGAUAGGCCGGGUGUGUAAGCGCAGCGAUGCGUUGAGCUAACCGGUACUAAUGAACCGUGAGGCUUAACCUUACAACGCCGAAGCUGUU
This 1710-nucleotide ribosomal RNA is filed under the name Escherichia coli. RNAcentral's name for it is "partial 23S ribosomal RNA". It matches the Rfam family "Bacterial large subunit ribosomal RNA", at positions 1252 to 2925 of the family's 2925-position model. The record is from RNAcentral. Lineage: Bacteria; Pseudomonadati; Pseudomonadota; Gammaproteobacteria; Enterobacterales; Enterobacteriaceae.